AAACCUCAACCUCCCCGGUUUCUUCUGGACACCGAAGGAGGCUUGGACUUUGGAGGCCUUUGCUGGUGUCUCUCUUUUGAAACCCAGCUCCUCUUAAAUGAAUUAGCGGGGUCCUCAUUGCCGAUCCUUGACGUGUGAUAAGAUGUUUCCAUGUCUUGGUUUCUGGCUCUGUUGCCUUUGGGACCUGCUUCUAACCGUCUCAACCUCACAUCGAGACAACGUUUGAGCGUGUCUCCCUUUUCGGGAAACUCUCUCAACCCCACGAAC
RNAcentral lists this unclassified non-coding RNA (267 nucleotides) under uncultured Lactarius. Its description in RNAcentral is "sequence contains ITS2". The record is from RNAcentral. Lineage: Eukaryota; Fungi; Basidiomycota; Agaricomycetes; Russulales; Russulaceae.